RNAcentral lists this ribosomal RNA (892 nucleotides) under uncultured bacterium. RNAcentral's name for it is "bacterial SSU rRNA". It matches the Rfam family "Bacterial small subunit ribosomal RNA", at positions 34 to 916 of the family's 1533-position model. The record is from RNAcentral.
CGCUAGCUACAGGCUUAACACAUGCAAGUCGAGGGGAAACGACAUCGAAAGCUUGCUUUUGAUGGGCGUCGACCGGCGCACGGGUGAGUAACGCGUAUCCAACCUGCCCACCACUUGGGGAUAACCUUGCGAAAGUAAGACUAAUACCCAAUGACGUCUCUAGAAGACAUCUGAAAGAGAUUAAAGAUUUAUCGGUGAUGGAUGGGGAUGCGUCUGAUUAGCUUGUUGGCGGGGUAACGGCCCACCAAGGCGACGAUCAGUAGGGGUUCUGAGAGGAAGGUCCCCCACAUUGGAACUGAGACACGGUCCAAACUCCUACGGGAGGCAGCAGUGAGGAAUAUUGGUCAAUGGACGAGAGUCUGAACCAGCCAAGUAGCGUGCAGGAUGACGGCCCUAUGGGUUGUAAACUGCUUUUAUAAGGGAAUAAAGUGAGUCUCGUGAGACUUUUUGCAUGUACCUUAUGAAUAAGGACCGGCUAAUUCCGUGCCAGCAGCCGCGGUAAUACGGAAGGUCCGGGCGUUAUCCGGAUUUAUUGGGUUUAAAGGGAGCGUAGGCCGGAGAUUAAGCGUGUUGUGAAAUGUAGACGCUCAACGUCUGCACUGCAGCGCGAACUGGUUUCCUUGAGUACGCACAAAGUGGGCGGAAUUCGUGGUGUAGCGGUGAAAUGCUUAGAUAUCACGAAGAACUCCGAUUGCGAAGGCAGCUCACUGGAGCGCAACUGACGCUGAAGCUCGAAAGUGCGGGUAUCGAACAGGAUUAGAUACCCUGGUAGUCCGCACGGUAAACGAUGGAUGCCCGCUGUUGGUCUGAAUAGGUCAGCGGCCAAGCGAAAGCAUUAAGCAUCCCACCUGGGGAGUACGCCGGCAACGGUGAAACUCAAAGGAAUUGACGG